This 492-nucleotide ribosomal RNA is filed under the name uncultured bacterium. RNAcentral's name for it is "partial 16S ribosomal RNA". It matches the Rfam family "Bacterial small subunit ribosomal RNA", at positions 29 to 507 of the family's 1533-position model. The record is from RNAcentral.
AGUGAACGCUGGCGGUAGGCCUAACACAUGCAAGUCGAACGGCAGCACAGUAAGAGCUUGCUCUUACGGGUGGCGAGUGGCGGACGGGUGAGGAAUACAUCGGAAUCUACUUUUUCGUGGGGGAUAACGUAGGGAAACUUACGCUAAUACCGCAUACGACCUACGGGUGAAAGCAGGGGAUCUUCUGACCUUGCGCGAUUGAAUGAGCCGAUGUCGGAUUAGCUAGUUGGCGGGGUAAAGGCCCACCAAGGCGACGAUCCGUAGCUGGUUUGAGAGGAUGAUCAGCCACACUGGAACUGAGACACGGUCCAGAGUCCUACGGGAGGCAGCAGUGGGGAAUAUUGGACAAUGGGCGCAAGCCUGAUCCAGCCAUACCGCGUGGGUGAAGAAGGCCUUCGGGUUGUAAAGCCCUUUUGUUGGGAAAGAAAAGCAGCAGGUUAAUACCACGCUGUUCUGACGGUACCCAAAGAAUAAGCACCGGCUAACUUCGUG